UACAGAGGGUGCGAGCGUUAAUCGGAAUCCCUGGGCUUAAAGGGUGCGUAGGCGGCCAUGUAAGUGGGGUGUGAAAUCCCUCGGCUCAACCGAGGAACUGCGCUCCAUACUGCAUGGCUUGAGGGAGACAGGGGUAAGCGGAACUGAUGGUGGAGCGGUGAAAUGCGUUGAUAUCAUCAGGAACACCGGUGGCGAAAGCGGCUUACUGGGUCUCUUCUGACGCUGAGGUACGAAAGCUAGGGGAGCGAACGGG
RNAcentral lists this ribosomal RNA (253 nucleotides) under uncultured bacterium. Its description in RNAcentral is "partial 16S ribosomal RNA". It matches the Rfam family "Bacterial small subunit ribosomal RNA", at positions 524 to 776 of the family's 1533-position model. The record is from RNAcentral.